UUGUAUGACCCAAUCUCUAGACACAC
This 26-nucleotide non-coding RNA is filed under the name Mus musculus (house mouse). Lineage: Eukaryota; Metazoa; Chordata; Mammalia; Rodentia; Muridae. The record is from RNAcentral.